GGGUAGGUGUCUGAGUGGUUGAAGGUGCCAGUCUUGAAAACUGGUGGGUAUUUAUAGUAUCCCCAAGGUUCGAAUCCUUGUCUACCCG
This 88-nucleotide transfer RNA is filed under the name Chloropicon sp. RCC4434. RNAcentral's name for it is "tRNA-Ser". It matches the Rfam family "tRNA". From Rfam's summary of the family: Transfer RNA (tRNA) molecules are approximately 80 nucleotides in length. Their secondary structure includes four short double-helical elements and three loops (D, anti-codon, and T loops). The record is from RNAcentral. Lineage: Eukaryota; Viridiplantae; Chlorophyta; Chloropicophyceae; Chloropicales; Chloropicaceae.